Molecule: long non-coding RNA, 1437 nt
Filed under: Coturnix japonica (Japanese quail)
Lineage: Eukaryota; Metazoa; Chordata; Aves; Galliformes; Phasianidae
Description: lncRNA (ENSCJPG00005002200.1)
Source: RNAcentral
GCCCAAUUGGCCGGAACCAGGCCAAGGCCUAAGGGCAGAGUCACAGCCCAAGAGACCAGAACCAGUCCAAGGGCCUAAAGCCAGUCACAGCCCAAGAGGCCUGCAGUGGCUCCAACGCCAAAAGCCACAUCCCGGGAAGCCUGCACUGACCACAGGGCCUAAAGACCCAGCCACAGCACAGAAGGCCAGCUCCAGCUUUGGGCCUAAAUCCACAGCCACAACUCAAGAGGCCAGCACCAGCCCAGGGCUGUAAGACCACAGUUACAGCCACAGAGGCUGGCACCAGAACCAGAGCCUAAAGCCACAGCCUGAAAGGCCGGCACCAGCCCUGAGGCAUACAGAUGUGUAUUCCUGUUUGUUCCUACAGGUUCUCCUGGGACUCCAUUGAUCACUAUGAGGCCAUGUUGGUCAUUACUGGUCUUUAUUGGGCUGCACAAGAAUCAUCUUAACUCCUCUGUUAUUUUGCUUCAGAUUAACCUUACUGAGUGACCGUGACAUUGGUUUGGAUCCGGGAGGCACUCUCUGAGCUCACAACCGUUGCCAGGUGGGAGCAUUUGUGCCACAGCUGGUGAGCAGAGCUGGUGCUCUGGUGAGUGUCUGCACGCAGACCGAGCUCUGGGCCCUCCUUGGAGCUGAUCACCCUGUGAGAGCCUGUCUGAAGCAGCGCUGCAGUGUGUGCGAGAGGCAGUUGUAGGGAGAGUGGAUCCAGCUAUUCCCAAGAGUGCGGGAGGUUCUCUCCUGUAGAGAGAGCCCUCAGAACUUGGGCUUCGUCUGAGACUUGAGCAGCCAUGGCUCAGCAAGGGGCCAGCUGCUCUUCCUGUGUCUGCUCUGCAAGAAGGAAGAAGCAGCCAGCAGGCUGCCAGAGAUCCAACUGCACCUUUCAUCGCACAGAGGGACGUGAUGGGGACAGCCUGUUUUCACUGCCAGGCAAAAGUGAGUGUCCUCAGCCCUCUGUCAUGAAGUGUGGAGGGAUUUGACUGUUACUUCUGGGCGGGGGCAGUGCUGCAGGGGAUGUCAAGCAACCAUCCAUUUGGAGCGCAACAAGGAGCAGCAAGAAGUGAGUAAACAGACUGUGUCUGGGCUGUCAAAGUAGCAUCCUUCUGUUCUGGGGGGGGGAAGACAUGGGCUUACUGGACAGUAUUUUUGCUGCUUUCUGGUACCUAUGAAAUCAACACGUGACCUGUUGUUGUAGGGAUGGAGCCUGAGUGUCCGUGGAAUGGAGCGAAGCAAGGGGGGAAACAGAAAGCCUCUGUGGGUAGGAAGCUCUUGUGAGCUGUGGUGUGGGUACCUGCCUCUAAACAGGGCCGCGUGAAGGGAAGGGCAGGAUGUGUGAUGGAGGAGAGAGGAAAGGGCACUACAGAAGUGGCACAACACUGUAGCAGUGGAACGGUAAACUGAAGAAACUGCUCUUGACCAGAAGCUUGUGGUUGGCUGUGC